UAGUCAUAUGCUUGUCUCAAAGAUUAAGCCAUGCAUGUCUAAGUAUAAGCAAUUUAUACAGUGAAACUGCGAAUGGCUCAUUAAAUCAGUUAUCGUUUAUUUGAUAGUACCUACUACUUGGAUAACCGUGGUAAUUCUAGAGCUAAUACAUGCCUAAAAGCCCCGACCUCUGGAAGGGGUGUAUUUAUUAGAUAAAAAACCAAUGCCUUCGGGCUCCUUGGUGAUUCAUAAUAACUUGCGGAGCGCAUGGCCUUGUGCCGGCGCCGGUUCAUUCAAAUUUCUGCCCUAUCAACUUUCGAUGGUAGGAUAGUGGCCUACCAUGGUUUCAACGGGUAACGGGGAAUUAGGGUUCGAUUCCGGAGAGGGAGCCUGAGAAACGGCUACCACAUCCAAGGAAGGCAGCAGGCGCGCAAAUUACCCAAUCCCGACACGGGGAGGUAGUGACAAUAAAUAACAAUCCAGGGCUCUUUUGGGUCUUGGAAUUGGAAUGAGUACAAUUUAAAUCCCUUAACGAGGAACAAUU
This 523-nucleotide ribosomal RNA is filed under the name uncultured eukaryote. Its description in RNAcentral is "SSU rRNA". It matches the Rfam family "Eukaryotic small subunit ribosomal RNA", at positions 21 to 549 of the family's 1831-position model. The record is from RNAcentral.